CUCUACACCUGUGCUGAUCACUGGAUUAAGUACUUCUUCAAUGCUUUGGGGUUGGGGUUGGGGGUGUAUCGAGCGUUGGGGGGGUGUAUCGAGGGUUGGGGGGGUGUAUCGAGGGUUGAGAAGGUGUAUCGAGGGUUGGGGGGGUGUAUCGAGGGUUGGGGGGGUGUAUCGAGGGUUGAGAAGGUGUAUCGAGGGUUGGGGGGGUGUAUCGAGGGUUGAGAAGGUGUAUCGAGGGUUGGGGGGGUGUAUCAAGGUUUGGGGGGAACAAAGCCAUCCUAAAUAUCUUAGAACAUCUUUCUUCUAUUUUCACACAUCAUCAUGACGAAGGAUACGCUUUACUAUGAAGCCUAGAGAGAUGCUUUGUAUGCAGUUACAAAUAAAUGUAUAGCGAUAACGGUUACUCAGAGUAAUGAUCUUUUUUCUUUUUUUUUCCUUUUUAAACAUUUUCUUACUUUUUUUACUCAAUUUUUUUUUGUU
This is a long non-coding RNA of Astyanax mexicanus (Mexican tetra), 477 nucleotides long. RefSeq lists it as uncharacterized. NCBI's taxonomy places the organism in Eukaryota, Metazoa, Chordata, Actinopteri, Characiformes, Acestrorhamphidae. The transcript has 5 exons. The record is from RefSeq and is a predicted model, not a curated record.